CGUGGGAGUUGUUUACUGCUUG
RNAcentral lists this small nuclear RNA (22 nucleotides) under Arabidopsis thaliana (thale cress). RNAcentral describes it as "snRNA_08010". Lineage: Eukaryota; Viridiplantae; Streptophyta; Magnoliopsida; Brassicales; Brassicaceae. The record is from RNAcentral.